Small nuclear RNA from Diceros bicornis minor, 104 nucleotides. NCBI's taxonomy places the organism in Eukaryota, Metazoa, Chordata, Mammalia, Perissodactyla, Rhinocerotidae. The record is from RefSeq and is a predicted model, not a curated record.
GCUCUCUUCAGCAGCACAUAUGCUAAUACUGGGAAGACACAGAGAAGGUUCGCAUGGCCCUGAGCAAGGACGACUCACAAAUUUGUGAAGUCUUCCAUAUUUUU